RNAcentral lists this ribosomal RNA (376 nucleotides) under uncultured Gammaproteobacteria bacterium. RNAcentral describes it as "bacterial SSU rRNA". It matches the Rfam family "Bacterial small subunit ribosomal RNA", at positions 521 to 896 of the family's 1533-position model. Lineage: Bacteria; Pseudomonadati; Pseudomonadota; Gammaproteobacteria. The record is from RNAcentral.
UAAUACGGAUGGUGCGAGCGUUAAUCGGAAUUACUGGGCGUAAAGCGUACGUAGGCUGUUUUAUAAGUCGGAUGUGAAAUCCCCGGGCUCAACCUGGGAACUGCAUCCGAAACUAUUUAACUAGAGUAUGGGAGAGGUAAGUAGAAUUUCCGGUGUAGCGGUGAAAUGCGUAGAUAUCGGAAGGAAUACCAGUGGCGAAGGCGGCUUACUGGACCAAUACUGACGCUGAGGUACGAAAGCGUGGGGAGCGAACAGGAUUAGAUACCCUGGUAGUCCACGCCGUAAACGAUGAGAACUAGACGUUGGGAGGGUGAGCCUUUCAGUGUCGCAGCUAACGCAUUAAGUUCUCCGCCUGGGGAGUACGACCGCAAGGUUG